AGGUGGAGUUAUGACGUCCUCUUGUGUUCUGAGCUUCACAGUAAUAUCUCCCACUGUGAUCAGCACUGAAGUUAGAGAUGGUGAAGAUCUGUCCUGAAGCUGUCGCAGGACUCACAGACGCUGAACAAACUGAUGGAGCAUCUUGAGGAGAGAAGAAGAAAAAUAUAACUUAAGUGACCAAUGUGGAGAAUUAAGUGGAAUAAAGUGCUGAUGGUGCAGAUUGAAACCAGCUGACAACCCCUCCCUCGAUGCUCCCCUCUUCACCUGCAGAGUUUACAACAAUCAUUAAAGCUCAGCGUACUCUGUA
Long non-coding RNA from Labrus mixtus (cuckoo wrasse), 307 nucleotides. RefSeq lists it as uncharacterized. The record is from RefSeq and is a predicted model, not a curated record. NCBI's taxonomy places the organism in Eukaryota, Metazoa, Chordata, Actinopteri, Labriformes, Labridae. The transcript is spliced from 2 exons.